AUCCUGGCUCAGGACGAACGCUGGCGGCGUGCUUAACACAUGCAAGUCGAACGAGAAGAGAUGAGAAGCUUGCUUCUUAUCGAUUCGAGUGGCAAACGGGUGAGUAACGCGUAAGCAACCUGCCCUCUAGAUGGGGACAACAGCUGGAAACGGCUGCUAAUACCGAAUACGUUCUUUCUGUCGCAUGGCAGAAGGAAGAAAGGGAGGCUCUUCGGAGCUUUCGCUGGAGGAGGGGCUUGCGUCUGAUUAGCUAGUUGGAGGGGUAACGGCCCACCAAGGCGACGAUCAGUAGCCGGUCUGAGAGGAUGAACGGCCACAUUGGGACUGUGACACGGCCCAGACUCCUACGGGAGGCAGCAGUGGGGAAUCUUCCGCAAUGGACGAAAGUCUGACGGAGCAACGCCGCGUGAACGAUGACGGCCUUCGGGUUGUAAAGUUCUGUUAUACGGGACGAAUGGUACGACGGCCAAUACCCGUCGUAAGUGACGGUACCGUAAGAGAAAGCCACGGCUAACUACGUGCCAGCAGCCGCGGUAAUACGUAGGUGGCAAGCGUUGUCCGGAAUUAUUGGGCGUAAAGGGCGCGCAGGCGGCGUCGUAAGUCGGUCUUAAAAGUGCGGGGCUUAACCCCGUGAGGGGACCGAAACUGCGAUGCUAGAGUAUCGGAGAGGAAAGCGGAAUUCCCAGUGUAGCGGUGAAAUGCGUAGAUAUUAGGAGGAACACCAGCGGCGAAAGCGGCUUUCUGGACGACAACUGACGCUGAGGCGCGAAAGCCAGGGGAGCAAACGGGAUUAGAUACUCCGGUAGUCCUGGCCGUAAACGAUGGAUACUAGGUGUAGGAGGUAUCGACCCCUUCUGUGCCGGAGUUAACGCAAUAAGUAUCCCGCCUGGGGAGUACGGCCGCAAGGC
RNAcentral lists this ribosomal RNA (908 nucleotides) under uncultured Bacillota bacterium. RNAcentral's name for it is "bacterial SSU rRNA". It matches the Rfam family "Bacterial small subunit ribosomal RNA", at positions 16 to 894 of the family's 1533-position model. The record is from RNAcentral. Lineage: Bacteria; Bacillati; Bacillota.